Molecule: ribosomal RNA, 2906 nt
Filed under: Klebsiella michiganensis
Lineage: Bacteria; Pseudomonadati; Pseudomonadota; Gammaproteobacteria; Enterobacterales; Enterobacteriaceae
Description: 23S ribosomal RNA
Rfam family: Bacterial large subunit ribosomal RNA
Source: RNAcentral
GGUUAAGCGACUAAGCGUACACGGUGGAUGCCCUGGCAGUCAGAGGCGAUGAAGGACGUGCUAAUCUGCGAAAAGCGUCGGUAAGGUGAUAUGAACCGUUACAGCCGGCGAUGUCCGAAUGGGGAAACCCAGUGCAAUUCGUUGCACUAUCGUUAACUGAAUACAUAGGUUAACGAGGCGAACCGGGGGAACUGAAACAUCUAAGUACCCCGAGGAAAAGAAAUCAACCGAGAUUCCCCCAGUAGCGGCGAGCGAACGGGGAGCAGCCCGGAGUCUGAAUCAGCUUGUGUGUUAGUGGAAGCGUCUGGAAAGUCGCAGGGUACAGGGUGAUACUCCCGUACACUAAAACGCACAGGUUGUGAACUCGAAGAGUAGGGCGGGACACGUGGUAUCCUGUCUGAAUAUGGGGGGACCAUCCUCCAAGGCUAAAUACUCCUGACUGACCGAUAGUGAACCAGUACCGUGAGGGAAAGGCGAAAAGAACCCCGGCGAGGGGAGUGAAAAAGAACCUGAAACCGUGUACGUACAAGCAGUAGGAGCCCACUAGUUGGGUGACUGCGUACCUUUUGUAUAAUGGGUCAGCGACUUAUAUUCUGUAGCAAGGUUAACCGUAUAGGGGAGCCGCAGGGAAACCGAGUCUUAACUGGGCGUUAAGUUGCAGGGUAUAGACCCGAAACCCGGUGAUCUAGCCAUGGGCAGGUUGAAGGUUGGGUAACACUAACUGGAGGACCGAACCGACUAAUGUUGAAAAAUUAGCGGAUGACUUGUGGCUGGGGGUGAAAGGCCAAUCAAACCGGGAGAUAGCUGGUUCUCCCCGAAAGCUAUUUAGGUAGCGCCUCGUGAACUCAUCUUCGGGGGUAGAGCACUGUUUCGGCUAGGGGGUCAUCCCGACUUACCAACCCGAUGCAAACUACGAAUACCGAAGAAUGUUAUCACGGGAGACACACGGCGGGUGCUAACGUCCGUCGUGAAGAGGGAAACAACCCAGACCGCCAGCUAAGGUCCCAAAGUCAUGGUUAAGUGGGAAACGAUGUGGGAAGGCCCAGACAGCCAGGAUGUUGGCUUAGAAGCAGCCAUCAUUUAAAGAAAGCGUAAUAGCUCACUGGUCGAGUCGGCCUGCGCGGAAGAUGUAACGGGGCUAAACCAUGCACCGAAGCUGCGGCAGCGACACUAUGUGUUGUUGGGUAGGGGAGCGUUCUGUAAGCCGUUGAAGGUGGCCUGUGAGGGUUGCUGGAGGUAUCAGAAGUGCGAAUGCUGACAUAAGUAACGAUAAUGCGGGUGAAAAACCCGCACGCCGGAAGACCAAGGGUUCCUGUCCAACGUUAAUCGGGGCAGGGUGAGUCGACCCCUAAGGCGAGGCCGAAAGGCGUAGUCGAUGGGAAACAGGUUAAUAUUCCUGUACUCGGUGUUACUGCGAAGGGGGGACGGAGAAGGCUAUGUUGGCCGGGCGACGGUUGUCCCGGUUUAAGCAUGUAGGCGGAUGUUCCAGGUAAAUCCGGAACGUUACUAACGCUGAGGUGUGAUGACGAGGCACUACGGUGCUGAAGUGACAAAUGCCCUGCUUCCAGGAAAAGCCUCUAAGCAUCAGGUAACAUCAAAUCGUACCCCAAACCGACACAGGUGGUCAGGUAGAGAAUACCAAGGCGCUUGAGAGAACUCGGGUGAAGGAACUAGGCAAAAUGGUGCCGUAACUUCGGGAGAAGGCACGCUGAUGGUAGGUGAAGUGACUUGCUCAUGGAGCUGAAAUCAGUCGAAGAUACCAGCUGGCUGCAACUGUUUAUUAAAAACACAGCACUGUGCAAACACGAAAGUGGACGUAUACGGUGUGACGCCUGCCCGGUGCCGGAAGGUUAAUUGAUGGGGUUAUCCGUAAGGAGAAGCUCUUGAUCGAAGCCCCGGUAAACGGCGGCCGUAACUAUAACGGUCCUAAGGUAGCGAAAUUCCUUGUCGGGUAAGUUCCGACCUGCACGAAUGGCGUAAUGAUGGCCAGGCUGUCUCCACCCGAGACUCAGUGAAAUUGAACUCGCUGUGAAGAUGCAGUGUACCCGCGGCAAGACGGAAAGACCCCGUGAACCUUUACUAUAGCUUGACACUGAACACUGGUCCUUGAUGUGUAGGAUAGGUGGGAGGCUUUGAAGUGUGGACGCCAGUCUGCAUGGAGCCAUCCUUGAAAUACCACCCUUUAAUGGCUGGUGUUCUAACGUGGGCCCCUAAUCGGGGUUGCGGACAGUGUCUGGUGGGUAGUUUGACUGGGGCGGUCUCCUCCUAAAGAGUAACGGAGGAGCACGAAGGUCAGCUAAUCCUGGUCGGACAUCAGGAGGUUAGUGCAAUGGCAUAAGCUGGCUUGACUGCGAGCGUGACGGCGCGAGCAGGUGCGAAAGCAGGUCAUAGUGAUCCGGUGGUUCUGAAUGGAAGGGCCAUCGCUCAACGGAUAAAAGGUACUCCGGGGAUAACAGGCUGAUACCGCCCAAGAGUUCAUAUCGACGGCGGUGUUUGGCACCUCGAUGUCGGCUCAUCACAUCCUGGGGCUGAAGUAGGUCCCAAGGGUAUGGCUGUUCGCCAUUUAAAGUGGUACGCGAGCUGGGUUUAGAACGUCGUGAGACAGUUCGGUCCCUAUCUGCCGUGGGCGCUGGAGAAUUGAGGGGGGCUGCUCCUAGUACGAGAGGACCGGAGUGGACGCAUCACUGGUGUUCGGGUUGUCAUGCCAAUGGCAUUGCCCGGUAGCUAAAUGCGGAAGAGAUAAGUGCUGAAAGCAUCUAAGCACGAAACUUGCCCCGAGAUGAGUUCUCCCUGACCCUUUAAGGGUCCUGAAGGAACGUUGAAGACGACGACGUUGAUAGGCCGGGUGUGUAAGCGCAGCGAUGCGUUGAGCUAACCGGUACUAAUGAACCGUGAGGCUUAACCUU